This 396-nucleotide ribosomal RNA is filed under the name uncultured bacterium. RNAcentral describes it as "partial 16S ribosomal RNA". It matches the Rfam family "Bacterial small subunit ribosomal RNA", at positions 523 to 918 of the family's 1533-position model. The record is from RNAcentral.
AUACGUAGGGUGCGAGCGUUGUCCGGAAUGAUUGGGCGUAAAGGGCGCGUAGGCGGCCUGUUAAGUCUGGAGUGAAAGUCCUGUUUUCAAGAUGGGAAUUGCUUUGGAUACUGAUGGGCUUGAGUGCAGGAGAGGUUAUCGGAAUUCCCGGUGUAGCGGUGAAAUGCGUAGAGAUCGGGAGGAACACCAGUGGCGAGGGCGGCCUGCUGGACGACAACUGACGCUGAGGCGCGAAAGCGUGGGGAGCAAACAGGAUUAGAUACCCUGGUAGUCCACGCUGUAAACGAUGAAUACUAGGUGUGGGGGGACUGACCCCCUCCGUGCCGCAGUUAACACAAUAAGUAUUCCACCUGGGGAGUACGAUCGCAAGAUUGAAACUCAAAGGAAUUGGCGGGG